This 301-nucleotide ribosomal RNA is filed under the name uncultured bacterium. Its description in RNAcentral is "partial 16S ribosomal RNA". It matches the Rfam family "Bacterial small subunit ribosomal RNA", at positions 509 to 807 of the family's 1533-position model. The record is from RNAcentral.
CAGUCGCCACGGUAAUACAGAGGGUGCGAGCGUUAAUCGGAUUUACUGGGCGUAAAGCGUGCGUAGGCGGCUAAUUGAGUCGGAUGUGAAAUCCCCGAGCUUAACUUGGGAAUUGCAUUCGAUACUGGUUAGCUAGAGUGUGGGUGAGGAUGGUAGAAUUCCAGGUGUAGCGGUGAAAUGCGUAGAGAUCUGGAGGAAUACCGAUGGCGAAGGCAGCCAUCUGGCCUAACACUGACGCUGAGGUACGAAAGCAUGGGGAGCAAACAGGAUUAGAUACCCCUGUAGUCCCUGUCUCUUAUAC